Non-coding RNA from Sturnus vulgaris (Common starling), 5297 nucleotides. Lineage: Eukaryota; Metazoa; Chordata; Aves; Passeriformes; Sturnidae. The record is from RefSeq and is a predicted model, not a curated record.
AAAAAACCUUCUUAAAAAUAUGGAAGAUCUGGAAGACUUACGCAGGCCAAUAAUGAGCACAAUUUUGAAUGCAGACCUUUUCUCACUGAAAUAUGUUGCCUGGAGAAAGUGUUUGACCAUAGAAGAAGGACUUGUGAUCCCCAGAACUUAACUCUUUGUCCAUGGAAUCUAUUGAUCUAGGAACAAACAUUUUCUCUAAUAAGAGGCCUUAUCUCUCAAGUGUGCAUUGAGACUCUAGAAUCAAAUUAUUCAAGCUAUGAAUGUUUGGGAUUUCAGGUGCUUUGCAGUUAGAAGCUGUGUGGCUGUUUCUCAGUUAACCUCUUGUUUGGCCCCUUAACUUUAGGACCUGUUGAAGUUCCAGAAACUUAUAGAUGUCAUUAUGAGACUUAUGUCAUUAUGAAACCAGGCCUGGUUUAUCUGUCUUGAUCACAAUAAUUCUUUCUUAACCUCAGUAUAUUUAGGUAACAUGAACAGUAAGCCAAACAGAUAUUUUGUAUGAAUAUAAUGAGGCAUUUUUUAUCAAUACAUAGAUAUAAAAAGGGUUGUCUUAGCAUAGCUUUUAAAAAAAUAUGUUUUAAAGGUGUAAGACUUAAUAUUGUGCAUGCAGAGUUCAGAAAGAGCUUUAGAAAGUAAAGAGCUGGUAAACAAAUAUAUUUGGUAAAGUUAGAAAGAAAGGAAGGCAAAAAAUCGCCUAAAAUUGGUGUUCCAAGGAAGACAAUAACCAUUGGGUGGGCAGUGCACAAAUAGGAUAUGGACAAAUUAUUUGUUGUUCAGUAUCCUUGGCUACCCUAUUAAGUAGGAAUGUGUCUGAAAAAGUACAAAAAAGUUGGCAGUGAUCAGAGAAAAGUUAUGAAGUAGUUCCUCGUCAUCAUCAUCAAGGAGGAGGCCUCAUUCAGCACCUGACAGUCAAUGUAAGGUUGCUUUUUUUUUUUUUAAUGUGUUUUUGAUGAUGUUGUACUCCUCUAAUAUACCUUGUAAAGUUCUACUUUCUGUAUUGACCAGAUUUUGUUGAGGGAUGUUACUUUAAAAAUGGAGUAAAGAAUGAGCAAGGGAUUUACCUUAAGAGACAAAAGCGUUUGCAGGUGGCAACAACGAGCCUCAGAACUGGCAUUGGAUUAAUUCUGUGCUGUCUCUAUUGCUUGAAAAUACAACUGCAAGUUUAAAUGAUAAAGAGACAUGAAGUUGACAAAGUAAACUCUGUUGUUGUGAGUAUUUAAAAAAGACAUGUUUAUUCUAACUUCAGUAUUCUACCAGACUCUACAGAAGAUCCAUGUUUAAUUUGAAGCAGAAAAACCUGUGUCAGAUUUGAUGAUGGACUCAAGGCACCUUGUAUGCAUCUGUGUUUAUAAUUGUGGGCCAGCAAGAUGAAUGAGACCUCUCUGCAGUAUUAGUUGAUACUGACUUUUGUUUUUUUUGUACUGUCUUCUAAGUUGAUGACUCAAAGAUAUCCUAACUGCUAAAAGCAUUCUAAGAAGUUAAAUACUGGGGAAAAAAAUACUAAAAAGGGAGAACUAGGGAUUCUUUCUUCAAGAUUGGUUGUUUGCCUUUAGGGGAUGGUGUGGAGGGGAUGGGGUUUUGCUGCCUGACAUCCACCUUGGUUGUACAGCUAUUCUACUUGGGGAUAAUGGAGGGAGCAAACAAACUCAUGGGCAUGUGCCCCAAUGUGUAGUUGGAAAACAGAAACUCUGGAACUUAAUGCUACCAGUUUCAAGUGUUUGGGGCCUUGACACGAGAGGCUUGGGGUUUUUAAAAAUCUCUUGCAGUUUCACAGCUGCGAAAUGUUGCCAUCCUUUUGCAGGGAUUAUUUAAAUAUUUAUCCUUUCUUGCUACUUGACCUUUCCUGCUUGGUUUUAGUUCCUGUGGCCAGCUUGCUUUGUGUUUCAUGAGCUCAGUAAACCGUGGCCUUCAAUUCCCUUGUUCUAGUAUUUUCACUUAAGACCAGGAGUGAUGAGCAAAAGGUUUCAGGCUCAAUCCUUGAGCAAAGGGCCGCUGUGACAGGGAUUAUUAUUUAUUUGUCAUCUUGGAUGUAAUAAGCUGUAGGUACAGCAUCGAGAGCCCUUGAUUUAUUGCGCUGUCGACUGCCACUAGCAGGACGUCUGCUGUACCAUGCAGGAUGAAUACCACACUGUCAGCUCUGUCGAUCUGUCUCUGCCACUGCGCUCUCUCUCAUAACACAUUCCCAUUUCAUGCCAGAAUACAUAAACAAUCUUUCAUUAUUUUGAUGCCUUUUUCAUAUUUGUUCUUUACAGAACAUAAAGUUUGAAUUUAUGGGUUUCCUUUACAUUAUUUCAACACACUCCACCAUUUUCCGGGUUUGUGGUUUAACUCUCAGAAAUUGGCUGCCAGGUGAUUUAGUUAUUUUGGCUUUCUAGUUUUAUAGUUAUUUAAUAUCACAGUGCCAGAUACUGAGAAAACGUAGUGUAUAGCAGGAAAUACUCCCUCCAACCUUCAUUUUUAAUUUAUUUAAAUACUUUUCCAAAAUAUUUUUCCUUAGAUGCUGUUACAAAUGUAAUGGAAAGCUGUUUAAUUGGAAAAGAACAUGUGAAUAGUGAGCAAGCCAUUUCCCUUGAAUAAUUGCAAUUAAGGGAAUUUCUAACCUGUUGGCAGAAACAUUGCUCUGAUUUUUUUCCUAUACUUUAUUGUAGGUGGGGAAAAGGGAGGAAAGAAUGUCCAGAAAUUUGUGUCAUUUGUACUAUGCAUUCUUCAUACUUUACGGUGGUCCGCACCUGUUUAUAUUCUCUAAUUUUGUUUACCUAAGGGUUUUUUCUUUAAUACUCUGAAGCAUGUUAUUCAUUGAAGUCUAAGGAACUGAAAGUCAUUGCUCGAAUGAGUGAACUUAAAUGUCACUAUAAAUACAGCAAGUCAAAUACGAAUGUAUAUCAAAAUAGUUAAAAAUGUGUUAUAAAAAAGGCUUAUGAGUAGCAUUAAAAAAAUUAUUGCAAACUGUGCAGAGCAUGAACCAGAAAAUGUAGUGUUCCUGCCAACGUAACGUGCACAUAUAACUUGGGUUGUGUGAGCAGCCCGUCACUCCAUGGGUACAGCAGUGGACAGUAAAGUCUUGAGGAAGGGGCCAUGUAAGCUGCUCUGUGCAGUGUGCAGCAGGGGCUGGGCUUCAGGUGCUGCAAAUGACUGACCGUGAUCAGUAACAUUCCUCCAAGUUACUUGUGUAUGCAAACAUUUCCAAGGUAGUGAGGCAUAAUUAUUUUGUGAUAUUACCCUGUGUCUUCUCAUCAAAACAUAUUAAAGUCUGAUAAAGACUUGUUCAUUGCUAUGUUUGUGUGCAAUGGUUGCAAAGUUUUUGUGCUUGAGAGGCAGGUGAAUAAUGACUCCUAAUUUUCUUUUAUUGAAAAAAGUAGGGCUGCUUUUCCAUCUUCAGUGAAAACAUAUGAGUGUUUUUCAUAGUCAGUUUUAUUUUUUUUUCCCUAAAAGGAGAGAGAAAGCAUGCCUUUGCCACUGAAACUAUAUCUGGUAAAAAGAAACUUGUUUUAAUUGGCUGUGAAAAUAAGCAUAUUUCUCUAGGAUGUUAACAAAUGUGGAAUCACUCUAUAAAAGCAAGAUAAUAAUUGUCAGUUCUUCCUCCUCAGUGCAGCCUACAUUAGGACAGCUGGGAAUACGCAUAGCUCAUGUUACAUAGCAAAGAUUUGUUCUAGCUACAAAGAAACCAGAGUAAAUUAAUAUGAGAAAUUUGUUUUGUGUCCGGGGUAAAAAAGGCUGUGCAGGUUGGUGUUGUCAGCAAAAGCUGCUUGUCACUUUGACCUGCUCUGUUAAGUGUUUGAUGUGUUUUCUCAGAGUAAUCUGUGAAUAACAUUACACCCAACCAGCAGAGAAGCAGAGGGAGCGAUAGCAGAAUUAAUAUCUGGAAGCGUUGAUAAUUAUAUAUCAGAAUCUAAUUUUUAGCACAGAAAAUGUGUUAAUGACAGAGAAGAAAACAAAAACCACUAGCUUCUCCCAGCAGGAUCCAAAGUGUCAUUUAUUAUUUCUCAGCUGGAUAUCUAUCAAGUUUAUGGGUUAAUUUUUCUGUAGACUGUUAUUUAUGGGUUUUUGUUUGUUUUCAGCCAUCAUUACUAACAAUACGGUUAAUAGCAAUCAUUUGUUAUCCGGCACCAGCGGUGAUGCUUCAGAUGCGAGCAGUGAACUGAGAAUACUCAUUUGGUAGCUGAAUAAGGCUUUGACAGGGCCCAUUUAUAACAAGCUCAUUCCAUAAUGUCCAGCCUAUUAAUAAAAUUUUGUUGCUGUCUAAUUAGAGAUGUCUGAUGUGUAUAGUAGCCCAGCAAAGAAGACUUUCUUCUGCUGCUUUUCAGUUCUACUGUAUCAUACCUGAAACAUACAUGAGGCCAGUGGUUCAGGGAAUAAAACUGGGGUGUUCUGGGGUUCUGUCUCCCUUCCUAAGUGCAAUGAAAUACAGGUAUGGCAGGAAGGCCCAGGUCACAUAUUCAUGCACGUUGAGGGAAAGUCUUUAUUUUCGUUAGCUCAGAUCACCCUCAAGUAUCUCUUUUUUUCUUCUUUCGUGUGUUUUCUUUUAUUGGCUUUAUGUUCAAGUUUUAGCUAAAAAUAAACUUAAAGUAAAACAUAUCUGUGAUAUUGUAAUUGGAUGUAUACAUGUAGACAGAAUGUGAUUCUUGGGUGUGUCAGUAUAUCUUUGAGAAAAGAACAGUUUGAUCCCUGAGGGAAGGGGUGUGAUGAGAGAAAAAAGCCUGGGCCUGAUCAUUAGAUUUAUUUUUUUUCUUUCUUCUGUGUCUUUGAGGAGUGAGGAAUCAGCAGGAUUUACUGUACUCAGCAGUAAGGGGAUAGUUAGCAGUAUAACCGAGACUGGAAGCAGAGCCUAUUGUUGCCCAGCAAGUCCCAGAAUAUUUGAAGUACUUUGUACAGGUCAUAGAACAAUCCUGUGUUUUUGCUGAUGGGAUCUUUCAUCAAAACACAUAAAAAUAUAUUUUUAGUGGUGAGUUAAAUAGUGUGCUCACCGAGUUGUUGUGAGUGAGCGGUUUGUAAACUGAAGCACAAUUAGGCAAAAAGAUUUAUACCAGGACAUAGAAGUUGUUUCUGGGAGGGUUUCAGUUCCCUAGUGAGUGAUUUCAUGCAGGUGAUUUCUGUUCCUGAAAUGACCUGUCAGAAACAUUCUUGUUCCAUUUUGUUUAUACAGGUAGAAUCAAGUAUAUUAUAAUGAUGGAAAUGAGUUAAUUUCCAUUUCAUAAAAUGUUUUUGCUCACGUAACUGCUGAUUUAGUGAUAACAUAUACCCUUCCACCCUGCUUCUACUUUGUAGUGCACAAAUGGAAUGCUUCAAGAACUUUUGUCGUU